Molecule: ribosomal RNA, 735 nt
Filed under: uncultured archaeon
Lineage: Archaea
Description: bacterial SSU rRNA
Rfam family: Archaeal small subunit ribosomal RNA
Source: RNAcentral
GGAUAAUCUACCCUUAGGACUGGGAUAACCCUGGGAAACUGGGGCUAAUACCGGAUAGGCAAUUUUUCCUGCAAUGGUUUUUUGUUUAAAUGUUUUUUCGCCUAAGGAUGAGUCUGCGGCCGAUUAGGUAGUUGGUUAGGUAAUGGCUUACCAAGCCGGUGAUCGGUACGGGUUGUGAGAGCAAGAGCCCGGAGAUGGAACCUGAGACAAGGUUCCAGGCCCUACGGGGUGCAGCAGGCGCGAAACCUCCGCAGUGUGAGAAAUCGCGACGGGGGGAUCCCAAGUGCCAUUCUUAACGGGAUGGCUUUUCAUUAGUGUAAAGAGCUUUUGGAAUAAGAGCGGGGCAAGACCGGUGCCAGCCGCCGCGGUAACACCGGCAGCUCUAGUGGUAACAAUUUUUAUUGGGCCUAAAGCGUCCGUAGCCGGUUUAAUAAGUCUCUGGUGAAGUCCUGUAGCUUAACUGUGGGAAUUGCUGGAGAUACUAUUAGACUUGAGACCGGGAGAGGUUAGAGGUACUCCCAGGGUAGAGGUGAAAUUCUGUAAUCCUGGGAGGACCGCCUGUUGCGAAGGCGUCUAACUGGAACGGUUCUGACGGUGAGGGACGAAAGUUAGGGGCGCGAACCGGAUUAGAUACCCGGGUAGUCCUAACUGUAAACGAUGCGGACUUGGUGUUGGGGGUGGCUUUGAGCUGCUCCAGUGCCGAAAGGGAAGCUGUUAAGUCCGCCGCCUGGGAAG